AGAAUCAACGCUGGCGGCGUGCCUAACACAUGCAAGUCGCACGAGAAAGUGGAGCAAUCCACGAGUAAAGUGGCGCACGGGUGAGUAACACGUGAAUAAUCUACCUCCGAGUGGGGAAUAACUGAGAGAAAUCUUAGCUAAUACCGCAUAAUACCCACGGGUCAAAGCAGCAAUGCGCUUGGAGAGGAGUUCGCGGCCGAUUAGCUAGUUGGCGGGGUAAUGGCCCACCAAGGCGAUGAU
Molecule: ribosomal RNA, 240 nt
Filed under: uncultured bacterium
Lineage: Bacteria
Description: partial small subunit ribosomal RNA
Rfam family: Bacterial small subunit ribosomal RNA
Source: RNAcentral